UGAACGCUGGCGGCGUGCCUCAUACAUGCAAGUCGAGCGAACAGACGAGGAGCUUGCUCCUCUGACGUUAGCGGCGGACGGGUGAGUAACACGUGGAUAACCUACCUAUAAGACUGGGAUAACUUCGGGAAACCGGAGCUAAUACCGGAUAAUAUAUUGAACCGCAUGGUUCAAUAGUGAAAGACGGUUUUGCUGUCACUUAUAGAUGGAUCCGCGCCGCAUUAGCUAGUUGGUAAGGUAACGGCUUACCAAGGCGACGAUGCGUAGCCGACCUGAGAGGGUGAUCGGCCACACUGGAACUGAGACACGGUCCAGACUCCUACGGGAGGCAGCAGUAGGGAAUCUUCCGCAAUGGGCGAAAGCUUGACGGAGCAACGCCGCGUGAGUGAUGAAGGUCUUCGGAUCGUAAAACUCUGUUAUUAGGGAAGAACAAAUGUGUAAGUAACUAUGCACGUCUUGACGGUACCUAAUCAGAAAGCCACGGCUAACUACGUG
This 495-nucleotide ribosomal RNA is filed under the name uncultured bacterium. RNAcentral describes it as "partial 16S ribosomal RNA". It matches the Rfam family "Bacterial small subunit ribosomal RNA", at positions 30 to 507 of the family's 1533-position model. The record is from RNAcentral.